Non-coding RNA from Helianthus annuus (common sunflower), 84 nucleotides. NCBI's taxonomy places the organism in Eukaryota, Viridiplantae, Streptophyta, Magnoliopsida, Asterales, Asteraceae. The record is from Rfam.
GAGCUAUGAUGACAAGCCUUUCAUGAUGGUUGGGUCCAUCAUAUAAACCUUCUUCUGAAGGAAAAUACAGGCCCUUCUGAGCUC